RNAcentral lists this ribosomal RNA (394 nucleotides) under uncultured bacterium. RNAcentral describes it as "partial 16S ribosomal RNA". It matches the Rfam family "Bacterial small subunit ribosomal RNA", at positions 355 to 760 of the family's 1533-position model. The record is from RNAcentral.
UGGGGAAUAUUGCACAAUGGGCGAAAGCCUGAUGCAGCGACGCCGCGUGAGGGAUGACGGCCUUCGGGUUGUAAACCUCUUUCAGCAGGGAAGAAGCGAAAGUGACGGUACCUGCAGAAGAAGCGCCGGCUAACUACGUGCCAGCAGCCGCGGUAAUACGUAGGGCGCAAGCGUUGUCCGGAAUUAUUGGGCGUAAAGAGCUCGUAGGCGGUUAGUCGCGUCUGCUGUGAAAACUCGAGGCUCAACCUCGGGCUUGCAGUGGGUACGGGCUGACUAGAGUGCGGUAGGGGUGACUGGAAUUCCUGGUGUAGCGGCGGAAUGCGCAGAUAUCAGGAGGAACACCGAUGGGCGAAGGCAGGUCACUGGGCCGCAACUGACGCUGAGGAGCGAAAGC